AAUAAUGCCUCGCAGAAGUUUAUGGGGCUGCCCUCUUUGAGACACAUGGUCAGUUGCCUUAGUUUUCUCGACAUUCCAUGCUUAUCUAUCAACUUCCCAGAAGUAUAAUAUUUUAAGUAGAAAUAGUUCAGUCCUGGUGAGCUAUUCUGGGAGAAAGAGGACAAGCUGCUUGUUCUCAGUGCAAUGCACCCUCUUGCUUCUCUGUCGUGGCCCCAUGGUCGUCUAGGUGUGGGAACGAGGGAAAUAAGAAAGGGUUACAUUUUGCUUACUGAACACCAGCAAGGAAGUUGUGAGCUGCCCCAUGGAGAGGCCUAUAUGACAGAGAACUGGUCAACAGCCAACAAAGAAUGGAGGGCCUCCGUGCAGCAGCCCAUGAGGAUCUGAAUCCCACCAAUCACCUUGCAAGGGAGCUUGGAAAAGGAUCCACCUAGGCUUGACACGACUGAUGUCCCGGCUGACUACAGGCUCAUAAGA
Molecule: long non-coding RNA, 474 nt
Filed under: Homo sapiens (human)
Lineage: Eukaryota; Metazoa; Chordata; Mammalia; Primates; Hominidae
Description: HSALNT0406928
Source: RNAcentral